This is a long non-coding RNA of Gasterosteus aculeatus aculeatus (three-spined stickleback), 2438 nucleotides long. The record is from Ensembl. NCBI's taxonomy places the organism in Eukaryota, Metazoa, Chordata, Actinopteri, Perciformes, Gasterosteidae.
GUAAACACAAAGAUAAUCCCCUUUUAUUUGUUCCAACCUUGCUUUUCAUUCCACGUGCAGGAUUCUAUUUUUUGUAGCUCCUGUGGAAACAGUACAGUUUGAGUACUCUAUUUUAGGACCAGGACAUGAAUUAUACAGAGAAGUGGCCAACAAUGUGCAUUGCAUUCUCUUCCUACUGACCCGAGUGCACAGAGAGAGGGAGAGGGAGAGAGAGGGAGAGGGAGAGAGAGGGAGAGGGGGAGACGCGUGGAGAGCGUCUGUGAUGAGUGACCAUGAGCUGCUCUUGGAGUGCUGGUGGGCCGUGCGAUGGCACAGUCUCUGCUCCUGGCAGCCGCCCAGUAUGAUUGUGAUUUGCUGCCCACAGGGUGACCACCUGGCAGACGCUUCCUCCAACAUCCCCGGGUUACACAGGGUGCAUCCAUUGCAGAUUGGAUUUCUUCAAACAGCGUUGACGCAAAGCAAUGUCAUCUCGGUUCACUGCAGCUCUUUCCAGCAGUAUUUGGACACAUGCAUGUAUUUAUUUCAGCCUACAAUGUGCGCACCCUGCUUGAGGGCUAAUUACAUUUGCACAGCUCAAAGGCCCGCGAGUGUCACCUUUCCUUUUGAGACACCUCCCUGGCACAACGGCGUGGAGGAAAACAUCACGAGAUUUGGGGAAAACGAAGCUCGUAAUUGUGAUCUACUCGUGUUUGUGAUCAAGAAGUUCACAAGCAUAAGCACGUUGAAACAUAACCCACGGUUCAUUUGUCACGGAUGUUUCUUAGCCUGUCUAGUGCGGACACACACGCGCGCGCUCACGUGCGCUCACACAUGCCGUGAAGACCACGUGAGCUACAGAGGAGCAGAAAGAGACGACGAGAGGGAAGCACAGUUGACUUCCUCUGUCGUUACUCACACCUGCAGUAGAAUGCAUCUCCAUAGCAACAAGACUUGCAACUGUGCAGAGUUGAUAUUUGAGGUUGUGAUCUUUAAUGCCCACUUUUAUCUCCCUUUUUUACUGCAGUAUUUUGUGGAAAUGCAUUUCUCGGUGGGUUUUCUCCCUGACCUCCUCUCUUAAUUGGGUUUGUUUCACAACUAAGACUCGCUUGUCAUCAGUCUGUCAACUGAAAGCUAUUAAUAAAUCAUCCCAAAUCAUGCUCAUAUACGCAGGAACAAAAAUGGUGUAAUGAUUUCUUUGACUACAUCUCUCCUGUCAGCCAAUUACUGUAUACAAUGAACAUGUAAUUCAAAUUGGCUUAUACAAUUAUUGUAUCAUUAUUAUUAUAUAGUUAUUGUACAAUUAUAUAAUAUAUUGUGCCUACACGAUGCCAUCUUUUCUAAAACCUUUUUAAGUUGUUUCCGUAAUUUGAGUGUCAAAAUCAUGCGUGCAUGAUAAUCUAGAGUUUACUCAGCAAAGUAAAGUCAGUAAGGAAGGAAUAGUUUACAGUAUAUGUAACACAGCGGAGAUACGGUAUUCUCUCAGCACAUAUAAAAUAAAUGUAUUUUUUAUCAAUAUCAAAAUAAACUUAACACAUUUAUUGUGCUCUACUGUUACGGUUACACUUCUAUUUGUUGUAUAAGCUUUGGUACUAUAUCAAGAACGAACUCCCACCACCUCAUUUGAAUAAUGUGUCGUCGGUCUAAUUGGCACUGCUUCUUCUUCAUGAUGAUUUUCAAAUAUUGUGUAUUAUGAAUAAUGACAUGCUCUGCACACUACUUACAGUAUCACGCUGCACGCUUUUAUCCCCGAUGAUGUAAGCAAGUUCAAAAUCUUUAAGUGUAAUCAGGUGAAAGACCUGAGAGAUAAUUGAAAAUGCACACGCCAAGGAGGUAACAACAAAGUGGCAGUGGCCGUUCCUUUGAAGCUGAUGCGUUAUGUUGUUAUUAUGGGCAACAUUCAUAGCAGAUAAGGACACCUUAAAACCCUCUGUAAUUGUAUGCAUGAUGAAUAUAAAAGCUGCUGAGCCGAAGGCCUCGGGUGGAUUUCUUAUUUCACAAGAACCCUUAGAUGUCCUCGUGUCGAAUUCGUCACUCUGUUUUUUUUAUUAUUUUAUCCCUCUUAAAUAUGCAUCUAAUAGCCGGCAUUAGCUUCUCCCGAGAAGUGCAGCCUCAUCAUGUGGUAAUAAUGAGCCUGGUGGCCACUCGCAGGCAGGCUGAUGGUUGACUUGACGCUGCCAUCUAGUGGUCGUGCAGUUCUAGUUUGACAUCAGCCAAUAAACAUGGUGUUCUGGUUAAUACUUUAUUUUCAACCUUUCAUCCGCGGAUAAUGAGGCAGUGCGGCCUCGGACCCACCGACACAAGAACAAAGACACGCAUUCAAAAAAUGAAUGCUUUUGGUGAUUUUGCAUUUGGUCACAAACUAUCAUUAUAUAUGAUUGAUGUUGUUGAUGAAUAAAUCAAUUAUAAUAAUAAUUUCAAAGUUAUAUUAUUACUUAAAUUUGCUUACAAGUACGUUAUGA